GUGGUGGUAGCUCAGUGGCAGAGUGCUUGUUUAGCAUGCACAAGGUCCUGGGUUCAAUCCUCAGUACCACA
RNAcentral lists this transfer RNA (71 nucleotides) under Heterocephalus glaber (naked mole-rat). It matches the Rfam family "tRNA". From Rfam's summary of the family: Transfer RNA (tRNA) molecules are approximately 80 nucleotides in length. Their secondary structure includes four short double-helical elements and three loops (D, anti-codon, and T loops). Lineage: Eukaryota; Metazoa; Chordata; Mammalia; Rodentia; Bathyergidae. The record is from Rfam by way of RNAcentral.